Molecule: transfer RNA, 525 nt
Filed under: uncultured Bartonella sp.
Lineage: Bacteria; Pseudomonadati; Pseudomonadota; Alphaproteobacteria; Hyphomicrobiales; Bartonellaceae
Description: partial 16S-23S ribosomal RNA intergenic spacer
Rfam family: tRNA (bases 136-209)
Source: RNAcentral
GAUGUUUAGACAUAUGUUUAAAUUCUACGGUUCUUAAAGACCAUAAAUUUAAAAAAAGGCUUUAUGAAGAAAGCUCUUUAUGCUUUUCCAGUGAUUUAAGAUGAUACCGGGGAAGGUUUUCCGGUUUAUCCCGGAGGGCUUGUAGCUCAGUUGGUUAGAGCGCGCGCUUGAUAAGCGUGAGGUCGGAGGUUCAAGUCCUCCCAGGCCCACCAAUUUAUGCUCGUUUUUUGCUUAUCCAAGAGUAUGAAGCUUAAGCGUAUUAAAGCCUCUUUUAAUCUUUGUUUAUUUUAAAGAUUUAAUUUUAUCAUUCAAAGAUUGUUUGUUAAAUUUAUUCUAUUAAGUUUGUCAAAGGGGGAGUUUGUCAAAGGAGGUUUUUAAAUCCCUUCAUUUUGAAAUUCCUUCAAGGUAUAGAGAAAUUUAAAUGAUGCUCUCUCAAAUCAACCUCAAGAAAAUUUAUCAACUUGAAUCAUUUAUACGACUUUGAUUUGUACUAUUUUGAUUUGCAUCAUUUAAAUUUCUCUAUAC